Long non-coding RNA from Hemicordylus capensis (graceful crag lizard), 1884 nucleotides. RefSeq lists it as uncharacterized. Lineage: Eukaryota; Metazoa; Chordata; Lepidosauria; Squamata; Cordylidae. The record is from RefSeq and is a predicted model, not a curated record. The transcript is spliced from 2 exons.
GGAAAGGAGGGAGAUCAGAGGGCUAGAGGAAGGAGCUGUGCAAGCCGGAUCCUGUAUUCCAAUCAAUUCACAGGGAUGCCAGAGCACACUUGUACCCCCCUGGAUCUGCCCCUGUUGGCCGGUGCACCCCACUAGCAGUUAUACACUGAAUUUCAAUGGAGUGUGAAAGAUAUGCAGCUGAAGAUUUGAUCCCACACAUUUCUCAGAAGAGACUUGCACUUGACAAUGCAAUGCAAAGUCAUUAAUGCUAAAGUUAUUAAACUAAAACCCUAUCAGAGCUAUAAUUCACUAUGAAAUAAAAUAGAAACCUUGUCUUGGGCCAGGUGAAGCUGUCCUUCACAUUGGUACAAAUUGGAGAUGACCGGGGUAAUCCCUCUGAGAGAUGAAUUGGAUUCCGCCUCUUCCUAGCACCUGUGGGAAUUCACAGGUGUUAAGUUAGAAAAAGAAAGGCUCCCCUGUUGAUCCCCAAUGAAAAUGCAACAAAAACAUAUUGAGAACGACAAAUUCAAAAAUGGAAUAUAAGGUUAAUACAGUGCAUGGAACAGAGCUUGUUUCAUAAUCCAUAGUAAGGCCUACAGACGGCUCAGGCAGAAAUGUCAUACAAAUUACAUUUAAUUUACUACAGACCAUGUUUUGAUUUUUUCCUCCUGGUUUCAAGAAAAGGGUUCUGUGGGAGGGGGGAAAAAAUCCCAUGAAAAUUUGAGCUGUGAACAUCUUCAUAAAUAUGUGACCCAUUACAAAUGUUAUGUGUGUUGUGAUGUAAAAAUAAAGGGCUGUGUAAAUGAAACAUCUAAAAGGGAUACAUUCAAUGCCUAGCAUUUAACAGACAUAUUAAUGUGUCCUUGUAAGAUAUGAAGUGACAGUGGGUUCAUUAUGUUCAGCGCUGUUCAUAUAAAAGGACACCAACAUUGUGCCCAGGAUUGGUUACUAAUAGAUCCCGUUCUUUAACUGGGUGCAGAUUAUUCCUUUUCUACAUUUAUCCUGCUUGCUUAAUUAUUAUGUCAGUCAAUCAGGUAAUAAUAUCUGAAAGGUUGGCUUUAUUCCACAUUUAGACAAGCACAUGGUUAUUGAACAUAAGCAGCUGCCUUCAGUCAGACCACUGGUCUGCCUAACGAAAUACUAUUUAUCAUGACUGGCAGCAGCUCUCUACCAAAGCUUAUUCCUAACUCUUCACCCUGAGAUUAUUUUACUAGAAAGGCUGAGAGAGUGAAUCUUGAACCUUAAACCUUAUGCACAAAAAACAGACAUUUUACCCUUGAAUUAUGAGCUGUCCUCUUCUAGUCACACUCAUAAAUGAUCUGCCAACGAUAAUGGGCCGCUUUUUAAAAAAAGGAGUUGCAGGCCUUUGUUUAGAGAGGGUGGCACAAGAAUGGGGGUCUCAUGUAUCUUGGUCAUCCUAGUGAACAUUUCUAACUCCGAUAGGAUGAUAAGAAGAUGUCCAACAACCAGACUAAGACAGCUCAGGUGCUAUGUGAGAAGCAGUGAUAUUCCCAAUGAUUUUGACUAACUCAGUAAUCGCAGGUGAAUUUCAGGUGAAUUUCAGUAGAUUCCCAUUCUCUUGGAAAUGCUCUGUGCCUCAUGCAAAUAUGUCACUGAGCACUGCACAGCCUUCAAGGACAUAUUUUUGUGUGACACAGAGCACAUCUGGGGAAUGGUGAAGUCACCAAAAUCCCUCCCCCACACUAUUCAAGCACUGGUGGUGUAUAAAUGGGGAGAACCAGUGCUUCUCACAUAGCACCAACGUUUCCUCAGUCUGGAUGUUAGUCAGUAAUAAUACUAGCAACCAUGUCUUUUAAUAAGACUGCUUUUAUAUUGUUAAAUUCUACUGUUUUGAUCUAAAUGAUUCAAGCUUCCGUCGAUCAAAUAAAAGAUCUUUAAAUCAUA